Molecule: ribosomal RNA, 509 nt
Filed under: uncultured Bacteroidota bacterium
Lineage: Bacteria; Pseudomonadati; Bacteroidota
Description: bacterial SSU rRNA
Rfam family: Bacterial small subunit ribosomal RNA
Source: RNAcentral
CUAUGCGCCUUGCCACGCCCGCUCAGAAACUUAAAGGAAUUGACGGGGGCCCGCACAAGCGGUGGAGCAUGUGGUUUAAUUCGAUGAUACGCGAGGAACCUUACCUGGGCUCAAAUGUAUGUUGACGUAUUCUGAAAGGGAUACUUCUUCGGACAAUAUACAAGGUGCUGCAUGGUUGUCGUCAGCUCGUGCCGUGAGGUGUCGGGUUAAGUCCCAUAACGAGCGCAACCCCUAUCAUUAGUUGCCAGCGGGUCAUGCCGGGGACUCUAGCGGAACUGCCAGCGUAAGCUGCGAGGAAGGUGGGGAUGACGUCAAAUCAGCACGGCCCUUACGUCCAGGGCUACACACGUGUUACAAUGGCCAGUACAGAGGGCAGCCACCCCGCGAGGGGGCGCUAAUCCUAAAAGCUGGUCCCAGUUCGGAUCGGAGUCUGCAACCCGACUCCGUGAAGCUGGAUUCGCUAGUAAUCGCGCAUCAGCCACGGCGCGGUGAAUACGUUCCCGGGCCUU